GCGGCACUAGCUCAGUUGGUAGAGCGCAACCUUGCCAAGGUUGAGGUCACCGGUUCGAACCCGGUGUGCCGCUCCA
Molecule: transfer RNA, 76 nt
Filed under: Agarivorans gilvus
Lineage: Bacteria; Pseudomonadati; Pseudomonadota; Gammaproteobacteria; Alteromonadales; Alteromonadaceae
Description: tRNA-Gly
Rfam family: tRNA
About the family: Transfer RNA (tRNA) molecules are approximately 80 nucleotides in length. Their secondary structure includes four short double-helical elements and three loops (D, anti-codon, and T loops).
Source: RNAcentral